Molecule: long non-coding RNA, 1897 nt
Organism: Salvia splendens (bonfire salvia)
Lineage: Eukaryota; Viridiplantae; Streptophyta; Magnoliopsida; Lamiales; Lamiaceae
Exons: 2
Source: RefSeq, a predicted model, not a curated record
GCAUGCCCCUACUUUAUUUCUUUUAUCAUUUGAUCACCGUUAGAAAAUUUUAGAAACUUGCAUAAUAAUUAAAUCGGGAAAAAUUAAUUAAUAGUCUUUCUUUAUUAAACUUAAUUAUUUCUGUACUUGAGAACGCCGUCUCCCUCUUCUUCCCAUUUCCUUAGAGGCCGCCCGAGGCAUCGCGGGGCGUGCCGGUCGGCCUUUAGCAUCUCCAACUUUAACAUCUUCCAUCUUUGGAAAUUUAAUACUUUAUUCGGGAAUUAUUUAAAUGAGUUCCAACUCAUCUUAAAUAAAUUCCAACAUAUUCAAUUCCAAGCUCUACAAAAUAAAUCUCGGUCCAACGAUUAAAACGAAGCAACCCACUUCCCUUGAUUAAUUAUAUGGGACUUAGUCCAAAUCCCCUUUGAAUUCACUUGGCCCAACAAUUAAAAAAAUUAAGGCAGCCCACUACACUUAUUUAAUUUACUAAGGCCCAAACCAAACAAUUAAAGUGGCCCAACCUUCAAUUAAUUUAGUGGUCCAACUAAUUAAAUGGAAAAGGCAUAAAGCCUAUCUAUACUCCUCCACUCAACCAUCGGUUCUCAUCUCUCUCUUUCCUCAAAAUUCCCAAUUCACUCUCACUUUUCCAAAUUAGGGAUUCAUAGAUUGAGAAGAAACAGUGGCAGUUUCUCCUUCCACAUCGUCUCUCUCUCUCUUCUCUUUUCUCCCUCGCCGCCGCCACCGCUGCGGAUCCGCUCCCGCCGCGGAUCUGCCUCAGCCGCCGUCGCCGAGGGCCUCCCCAGUCGCCGUGGAUCCCGCUAUCACCUCGUGCAGCUCCUCCCGCCGCCGUGCCAGCGCCGCCGCUCCGGCGGCGUCCCUCUCCUUCCUCUCGUCUCUGCUCACGCUGCUCACCCCCUCCCUAUCUGUCGCCGCUGCUGUGCAUGCACAAACAGCGGGUUCGUCCUCCUCCCCACGCCGUUGUUCCACGCGGUGGAAAACCCACCGCUGCUAUCCCGCUCUCCGUCGGUUCUCACCGUCGCCGUGUCGACAAGUAUAAUUUGUCAAGAUUUGAAUUUAUUGGAAGUCAUAGGGGUGUGGGGCUACCCCCGUCGUCUCCGAGCUGCCGUGAGGAAGUCGCUGGAAUCCGGCAGAUUUGUACACAUAAGAUAAGCUUUCUCAUUCUUUCUAGUUAUUAAGGCAGCAGGAUUCUAGGUUUGAUUCUGUUUACUGAUUUUGGUGAAUUGUGUGUAUAUGCCUGCUAUUUGGAAGACUCAAAGGUGAAAUAUGCUGAUUAAACUUGAUGAGCCAGAUUCUACUCCCAACCAUAUUUAUAUAUGCAUGCUCUUACAUAUCAGAAGGAAAAGAAAGUGUUUGGGAUUUACCUUUGAUGUGGAAAUAAAGUAUGGUUGGAUUGUAGUGCUUGACUCUAUAAUUGUAUGCAAAUCUCCCUCCUCGGACUCCUCUAUCCUAUGUGGUGUCGGUGUGUGCAGAGAAUUUAGAAUUUGAUGGUGAUAUGGGUGAGUGACAAAAAGAUUUGUAUAUAUAUACAUAUACACAAAAAGAUGGCAAGUGAAAGUGACGGUAUAGCAAGUUGGUGGAGCAAGUUCUUAUCUCAAAUAUCAUAUUCUUAUCUCAAAUUAAAUGAAGCAUUUAAUGUUUCUGAAAAGUUGAUCCUCUAGGAUAUGCUCUAUCCCUUUGUUUUUAUUUAUUUAUUUUAUUUUAUUUUAUUAUUUAAAUAAUUAAUUGAGUAUUUAUUUAAUUGUUUAUUUAAUUUGAUGUAGAUAUAAUUGGUUCAAGUCUGUGGCUGCCCGCGCUGAAGUACCCAAUUUGCUUAGAACGUACAAUGUAUUAAAUUUUGAUGGACUUUUGUUGGAUGUAAUGAACAUUAGAAUUUUGAUUAUGGUACUUUAUUUAUUAA